This 277-nucleotide ribosomal RNA is filed under the name uncultured prokaryote. RNAcentral describes it as "partial 16S ribosomal RNA". It matches the Rfam family "Bacterial small subunit ribosomal RNA", at positions 524 to 801 of the family's 1533-position model. The record is from RNAcentral.
UACGUAGGGGGCUAGCGUUAUCCGGAAUUACUGGGCGUAAAGGGUGCGUAGGCGGUCUUUCAAGCCAGAAGUGAAAGGCUACGGCUCAACCGUAGUAAGCCUUUGAAACUGGGAAACUUGAGUGCAGGAGAGGAGAGUGGAAUUCCUAGUGUAGCGGUGAAAUGCGUAGAUAUUAGGAGGAACACCAGUUGCGAAGGCGGCUCUCUGGACUGUAACUGACACUGAGGCACGAAAGCGUGGGGAGCAAACAGGAUUAGAUACCCCCGUAGUCCCUGAG